UACGUAGGGUGCAAGCGUUGUCCGGAAUUAUUGGGCGUAAAGAGCUCGUAGGCGGUUCGUCGCGUCGGCUGUGAAAACCUGAGGCUCAACCUCAGGCCUGCAGUCGAUACGGGCAGACUGGAGUUCGGCAGGGGAGACUGGAAUUCCUGGUGUAGCGGUGGAAUGCGCAGAUAUCAGGAGGAACACCGGUGGCGAAGGCGGGUCUCUGGGCCGUUACUGACGCUGAGGAGCGAAAGCGUGGGGAGCGAACAGG
RNAcentral lists this ribosomal RNA (253 nucleotides) under uncultured bacterium. RNAcentral's name for it is "partial 16S ribosomal RNA". It matches the Rfam family "Bacterial small subunit ribosomal RNA", at positions 524 to 776 of the family's 1533-position model. The record is from RNAcentral.